Oncorhynchus gorbuscha (pink salmon) is the source of this 865-nucleotide long non-coding RNA. RefSeq lists it as uncharacterized. Lineage: Eukaryota; Metazoa; Chordata; Actinopteri; Salmoniformes; Salmonidae. The record is from RefSeq and is a predicted model, not a curated record. The transcript is spliced from 3 exons.
CGAGAACAGGGGUUCCUGUAUGAGCCUUGUCCCAGUCUGGUUGGUAAUCCUCGUCUGAAAAAAGCCUGUUGUGGCGUGGGACUGAGAAAAGGGGGUGAGAUAGACAGACAGACAGACCCAGCCUGCAGUACGGAGCCGCAGCCUCGCAGCCAGGAGCCACUCAGCAAGGACCUGUCACAUCACAGUACUGCAGCCCCACAGAGGACCCAGGCACCUGAAGGGCGAGAGAGAAGAACAGAGAGCAAAAGAGAGCAAAAGAGAGGAGACCAAUCACAGGGUACGACGAGGGCACCACACCACAUCACACCAGCCAGAAAUGCAAACACCACCAAACUUUUGGAGAAACGACUAAACUUUUUUCCUCUUGAUCAAAAGGAGACCUGUGCUGAGUUACAUAGUACCUGAUAGUUGGGUGAACAGUAGUGUUAUACCGUUCUAGAGUGAGUUCUAGGGUUAUCCGGGAGUGUUCCAGAGAGUUCCCGGGAGAGUUCCAAGCGUGUUCUAGAGUGAGUUCUAGGGUGAUCCGAGAGUGUUCCCGAGAGUUCCCGGGAGAGUUCCAAGCGUGUUCUAGAGUGAGUUCUAGGGUGAUCCGAGAGUGUUCCCGAGAGUUCCCGGGAGAGUUCCAAGCGUAUUCUAGAGUGUUCUAUACAGUGUUCUAGAAUAUUUUCAUCGGCCAUAGGAUCUGUGGGAACUAGAGCCAGACAGCAGGAUGAGUGCCACUGAAGACAUAGCAAAAGACUACUAUGACUACCCUGAUUGGAACAUGGAGAACCCUGUGCCUACCAAGGUCCCAGCUGAAGUAAUCCCACCAUGUGACCCUACAGCUGAUGAUAGACUCUACCACAUCUGCAUCUCUGCCAUUUCU